UGCCGUUUAAGCCGGAGGAAGGCGGGGAUGACGUCAAGUCAUCAUGCCCCUUAUGUCCUGGGCUGCACACGUGCUACAAUGGCCGGUACAAUGGGCUGCGAUACCGCGAGGUGGAGCGAAUCCCAUAAAACCGACCCCAGUUCGGAUCGAAGGCUGCAACUCGCCUUCGUGAAGUCGGAGUUGCUAGUAAUCGCGGAUCCGCAUGCCGCGGUGAAUACGUUCCCGGGCCUU
This 231-nucleotide ribosomal RNA is filed under the name uncultured Coriobacteriaceae bacterium. RNAcentral describes it as "partial 16S ribosomal RNA". It matches the Rfam family "Bacterial small subunit ribosomal RNA", at positions 1150 to 1382 of the family's 1533-position model. Lineage: Bacteria; Bacillati; Actinomycetota; Coriobacteriia; Coriobacteriales; Coriobacteriaceae. The record is from RNAcentral.